This 453-nucleotide ribosomal RNA is filed under the name Streptococcus sp. oral taxon 058. RNAcentral describes it as "bacterial SSU rRNA". It matches the Rfam family "Bacterial small subunit ribosomal RNA", at positions 28 to 467 of the family's 1533-position model. The record is from RNAcentral. Lineage: Bacteria; Bacillati; Bacillota; Bacilli; Lactobacillales; Streptococcaceae.
GACGAACGCUGGCGGCGUGCCUAAUACAUGCAAGUAGAACGCUGAAGGAGGAGCUUGCUUCUCUGGAUGAGUUGCGAACGGGUGAGUAACGCGUAGGUAACCUGCCUGGUAGCGGGGGAUAACUAUUGGAAACGAUAGCUAAUACCGCAUAAUAUUGAUUAUUGCAUGAUAGUCAAUUAAAAGGUGCAAUUGCAUCACUACCAGAUGGACCUGCGUUGUAUUAGCUAGUUGGUGAGGUAACGGCUCACCAAGGCAACGAUACAUAGCCGACCUGAGAGGGUGAUCGGCCACACUGGGACUGAGACACGGCCCAGACUCCUACGGGAGGCAGCAGUAGGGAAUCUUCGGCAAUGGACGGAAGUCUGACCGAGCAACGCCGCGUGAGUGAAGAAGGUUUUCGGAUCGUAAAGCUCUGUUGUAAGAGAAGAACGAGUGUGAGAGUGGAAAGUUCAC